AUUGAACGCUGGCGGCAUGCUUUACACAUGCAAGUCGAACGGCAGCGCGGGCUUCGGCCUGACGGCGAGUGGCGAACGGGUGAGUAAUACAUCGGAACGUGCCCAGUAGUGGGGGAUAGCUCGGCGAAAGCCGGAUUAAUACCGCAUACGACCUGAGGGUGAAAGCGGGGGAUCUUCGGACCUCGCGCUAUUGGAGCGGCCGAUGGCAGAUUAGCUAGUUGGUGGGGUAAAGGCCUACCAAGGCGACGAUCUGUAGCUGGUCUGAGAGGACGACCAGCCACACUGGGACUGAGACACGGCCCAGACUCCUACGGGAGGCAGCAGUGGGGAAUUUUGGACAAUGGGCGAAAGCCUGAUCCAGCAAUGCCGCGUGUGUGAUGAAGGCCUUCGGGUUGUAAAGCACUUUUGGCGGGAACGAAAAGGACUGUGCCAAUACCACGGUUCGAUGACGGUACCCGCAGAAUAAGCACCGGCUAACUACGU
This 483-nucleotide ribosomal RNA is filed under the name uncultured bacterium. RNAcentral describes it as "partial 16S ribosomal RNA". It matches the Rfam family "Bacterial small subunit ribosomal RNA", at positions 29 to 506 of the family's 1533-position model. The record is from RNAcentral.